Molecule: long non-coding RNA, 4608 nt
Filed under: Gossypium raimondii (Peruvian cotton)
Lineage: Eukaryota; Viridiplantae; Streptophyta; Magnoliopsida; Malvales; Malvaceae
Description: long non-coding RNA (GRAI_LNC007130)
Source: RNAcentral
UUGCUUUUAAUCACACUACAUUUAUCUAUUAAUAAAAAUAUGUAGUACUAAAAUUGAAAAUUCCUUAAACAUAUGUUUAAACCAAGCUAAUAGCUUUGAAAAAUAUGUAAUUACAUGCUUUUACCAGUCAUUAAUGAAAAUCUGUCUUUUUCUUUUUCUUUUCCUAAAAACACCCUAAAGACAUGGCAUUUUUUUAGCUUUACAAGCAUCUUCAAACACGGCUUGGGCUAGUAUCAAUGAAGAAAAUUUCAAAGAAAACCAAAAUGACUAGUAAUUAAAAGAGCUUUUCAACCUAGUUGGGAUACCAUCCAACUCUCGUCAUAUGAUCACCAUAUCAGGGCCAACCUGCAGUGCCCUCAAGGGUCAGGACUCAAUUGUCCUAAGCAUUUCAUCAAGAAUGUCAUUCAUACAUCCUCUACUACCACUGCCAUCAAUAGUGUAAACAAGACUAACAAAUAGUAAUAAUCAAGAAAAAGAACAGAAAUUAGUGAUCAAAAUUAGUACAAAGGAUGGAGGCCAACAACAAUAUCAUAGCAAACUCUAUGCACGUAGGCUAAGGUAUCAAUCACCAGGCAGAGCUCGUGGAUACGCAAAAUAUUAUCAAAGACUGCUAAGUAAAAGUAAUCUCGAGACCAAACUUUAACAAGAAAAACAUAUCUCUAAGGUUGCCUGAAAAUGAACUCUCAUAUAAGAAAAACAUGUGACAACUACACAAACACGUCAUCAUAUAAAACUGGAAAAUUCAGCCUCACACAAUGGUAAAGAUCAAAUAGAUGUAUAAAUGCAUAUUUAAUCAACCAAAAAUACUAAGUCUGCAUUUCUUUGAUGCAUUAAUUACAAAGGGUUAUUAUUUGAUACACUUGUGGAGUUUUUUAACUCCUAGGAUAUGGUGCCCUUGGGGCUUUCUAUUUGAUUGUAUUGAAAGGCGCAAUGAAUUGGGAUUUCCCUAUUGGGCCGGGUCAUUUCAAGGCAUGCAGAUCAUUUAUGAUGAAAAGGAUGAGCUUCAAGAGAAUGAUUUAGCGUUCUUGCAGAGUGGAACCAUGCAUUACCAGACACGAGAUAGAUCUUCCAAAGAACAAGGCUUUUUUCGAAUAAGCCAAUUCAUUUGGGAUCUUGCGGAUCCACUCUUUUUCCCAUACAAAGAUCAGCCCUUUGUCUCUGUGUUUUCACACUGAGAAUUAUUUGCAGAUGAAGAGAUGUCAAAGGGGCUUCUUACUUCCCAAACAGAGCCUCCUAUAUCUAUAUAUAAAUGUUGGUUUAUCAAAAAUACGCAAGAAAAGCACUUCGAAUUAUUGAUUCAUCGCCUGAUAUGGCUUAGAACCAAUAGUUCAUUAUCCAAAGGAUUCUUCUGUCCUAAUACCCGAUCCGAGAGUUAUCAAUAUUUUAACUCUGCAAGCGGACUUAAGAAACUGCUAAGUGUCCUUAAUUGAUAUUUAAAAAAAAAACUAAAUAAACAAGACAUGUGGCAGUUUCUUAAGCCCUCUUGUGGAGUUAAAAAUCUCCACCGCCAAUGUAUCAAAUAAUAAUCCAAUUAAAAUUGCAAAUAACAGAGAUACUUUAACACAAGUAAGAUAUAUUUCUAAGACUUCCCAGAAAAGUAUGCUCAAAGGAAAAAGAAAAGUGAAUAAAAUACACAUAUAUACUUAUAGUUUGGCACUCUCUAUGGCAUUUAAUAAUGCCAGAAGUCAAAAGUAUAACCACCAUAUACAACUUUUUGGGGAAUAAAUUGGACUCUUUUGGAAAAGUGCAACUAAAAAGAACCCUCAGAUCUCAUAGCUUUGUCAAGAUCAUGUAAAGUUCAAAGUAAUCGCAUUCAUCAAUAGCUUUUCACACACCACCUUACCACCAAGAAAUAUCUAAUAUAUAUAUACAUACACACAAAACAUGUGUACAUAGAGAGAGAGAGAGAGAGAGAGAGUGAAAGUAGGUGGAGUGCAAAAGCCAGAGAUGAAUAGAGAACCAGAACAAUCCAAUCAAAAAUGAGUUUUCCAUCAUUGGGCAGAUAACAGCAACGGUAGAAUCACAAUGAAAUCCGAGACAUAAGUGUCUCCAACCCUACAUAACACAGUACAUAGGAAAACUAUGAUCUCCUUAGAAGGGUAUAUACGGAGAAAGCAAAAGGCACAAUGGUCACAAAGGCUCUAAUCAGAUUCAGAUACCAUAAAAGCCUAUAACAACAAUAUAAAAGGACGAUGUAAUGUCAUCAUUGUCAUAAUCAAACAACUCACUAUAUUCAUUCCAAUCUACAGCUUCAGAGUUCAGGGGUAAAAGUAAGCAGAAACAACAAACAAAGAAUACGCCAUAAAACAACUCAUCAUUGGCCACAUAUCAAAGCCUUUGAAAUUCAUAGAGCAUAUGUUAGGCAGAUGGGAAAAAAAGCACUGAAAGGUUUACUAAAGUAUCACAAGUUAACAAACAUGAAAAUUACACAUUGAGGUGUUGAACAGGAAAAAGGUUGACAAGAGUUUUUCAACAACUAAAUGUUUAACACUUCCAAAGCAGCAACUGAAAAUGAGGGAGAUAACAUGAUUGAUGGCCUAUGAAGUGAAUCAAUAAGAGAGAUGAUAAAAGUUCAAAACUGUCCCAAGCAUUUAAAUUAAUAAUAAAUAAGUUUUUAAAAAAGGCAGAGCUGUAUCUCAACUUUUGCACAAUUCUUAGAGAGGCUUUUGAUAAUUUCAUCUAACAACAAAAGACCAUGCAUUGUGAACUGUGAUUAAAAAUAAGAUAUAUUCAGUGAGAUUGACAAAAUCCUUAAGACUAAUGAAGCUAAAGGCUCAUACAAUCCAUCCCAGAGAGACCCUACUACGAAUCAGUAGCAUUACAUUUCCAUAUUAUCCUCAACAAAGGACAAAAUGGACAGCCUAAAAUAACCCCAUUAUAGAAAACUACUAAAUUACCAUGCAUACAACUAUGGGUAUGCAAGAGAAUGAUCGAGAUACAAAUUCUAUGCAGAAAAUAUAAAUAGCAUGUUACAUGUUACAUUACCCAACAAAAGGAUUCAAACGAAAAUAGUAUGAUCAAGAUACAAAUCCUGGUCCAUCUCGAAUAUUACAGUAGCUGGUGGUGGCGGCAAAAAAAAGAUACACAUGUACUUAAAGUAAAAUCAGAGGAAGAAGAAUCGUGAAAAAUAGACACACAUAUUUAUGGUUUGGCACUGUAUAUAGCAUUUAUUAAUGCCAGAAGUCAAAGGAUAAACACCAUACAAGGUUUUCUUUGGACUAAAUUGCCCUCUUUCGAAAAAGUGCAACUAAAUAGAGCCCUCAGAUCUCUCAUAGCUUUGUCAAGAUUAUGUACAGUUCACGGUAAAUUAAUUCAUCAAUAGCUUUUCACACACCACCUUACCACUAAAGAAAUACCUAGUAUAUAUAUAUACAUACACACAAACGUGUGUACGUAGACAGAAGAGGAGGAGGUGGAGGAGGAAGUAGGGAGAGACAGAGAGAGAAUGAAAGGAGGUGGAGUGCAAAAGCCAGAGAUGAAUCAAAAAACAGAACCAUCCAAUCAAAGAUGAGUUUUCCAUCAUUGGCAAAAUAACAGCAACAGUAGAACCACAAUGAAAACUAAGACAUAAGUGUUUAAAACCCUACAUAACAUCGCAGAGAGAAAAAAACUAUGAUCUCCUUGAAAGAGUACACAUUGAGAAAGCAAAAGGCAACAAGGCCACAAUGGCUCUAAUCAAUAUAAAAGGAGGAUGUAAUUCAAAGAAAGUAAAAUUCGCCCAGAUUUCAUUGUUUUUAUAAUUAAACGGUAGAGGAACCCAUUUCUCUCGAUCCAAUCUACAGCUUCGGAGUUCAGACAUAAAAGUAAACAGAAGCAACAAACAAAAGAACUACCCUACAUGACAGCUUCUCAUCAUUGGCCACAGAUCAAAACCUUUGAAAUUCAUCAAGCAAAUUUUACACAGACGCAAUCGAAGGCAUUGAAAGAUUCACUAGACGUACUUUCUUAAGUAUCACCAGACAACAAACAAGAAAAUGGUGGAACAAAAGGCAUCGAGUACAGAUGAGGGAGAUACUAUAAUUGAUGGCAUAUGAAGUUCAUCAAAAAAAUGAGAUGAUUGAAGUUCAAAAACUGCCCCAAAGCAAAUAUAUUAAGCAUUUAAACUAAUAAUAACAUUAAAGACAGCUAAUAUUUCAGUUUUAGCACAACUCUUAGAGAGGCUUUGAAUGAUUUCAUCUAGCAACAAAAGACCUUGCAUUGCAAACUAUGAUUGCAAAUAAGAUAUAUCCAGCGAGAUUGACAAAAUCCAGAAGAUCAAUGAAGCUAAAGACUCGUACAAACCAUCCCAGUGAGACCAUACUACUAAUCAGUAGCAUUAGAUGUUCAUAUUGUACUCGAGAAAGGAAAAAAAGAACAGCCUAAAAAAACCCAUUAUAGAAAACUACUAGAUUAUCAUGCAUUCAAGUAUGGGCAUGCAAGUGUAUGAUCGAGAUGCAAAUGAUAUACAGAAAACAUAAAUAGCAUGAUGAUACGUUACCCAAAGAAUGCAUUCAACCGAAAAUAACAUGAUCAAGAUACAAGUCCUAGUCCAUCUCCAAUAUUACCGUAGCUGGUGGCGGCGGCACAAAAGAGGAAAAAAACAGUAAUGAAGACGUAAGACAGGGAAAG